RNAcentral lists this ribosomal RNA (520 nucleotides) under uncultured Diversispora. RNAcentral describes it as "SSU rRNA". It matches the Rfam family "Eukaryotic small subunit ribosomal RNA", at positions 569 to 1089 of the family's 1831-position model. Lineage: Eukaryota; Fungi; Glomeromycota; Glomeromycetes; Diversisporales; Diversisporaceae. The record is from RNAcentral.
AGCAGCCGCGGUAAUUCCAGCUCCAAUGGCGUAUAUUAAAGUUGUUCCAGUUAAAAAGCUCGUAGUUGAACUUCGGGGUUUACCCAUUGGUCAGGCUUAAUUGUCUGUACUGGUGAGAUGAAUCUCUACCUUCUGAGGAACUUUCAUGCCAUUUAUUUGGUGUGAUGGGAAAUCAGGACUGUUACUUUGAAAAAUUAGAGUGUUUAAAGCAGGCUAACGUCUGAAUACAUUAGCAUGGAAUAAUGAAAUAGGACGGACUGAUUCUAUUUCGUUGGUUUCUAGGAUCACCGUAAUGAUUAAUAGGGAUAGUUGGGGGCAUUAGUAUUCAAUUGUCAGAGGUGAAAUUCUUGGAUUUAUUGAAGACUAACUACUGCGAAAGCAUUUGCCAAGGAUGUUUUCAUUAAUCAAGAACGAAAGUUAGGGGAUCGAAGACGAUCAGAUACCGUCGUAGUCUUAACCAUAAACUAUGCCGACUAGGGAUCGGACGAAGUUAAUUUUAUAAUGACGCGUUCGGCACCUU